GCCGAUAUAAUCAGGACAUGGACGCCUCGUUCCAAUCCAGAGCUGCUACGCGUGCGUUUUCCUCCGAACCCUACAUCCCCAAUUCACAGCCCAACGAAGCGGCGCCUCCCACCCUUUGCCCAGCAGCGCGGAAUCUGUCGGGACGAACUGAUCAAUCUUAAGGAUCGGAAAGAUGCAGAAAGCAAAAGGGUGAGUGAUCCCACAAAAAGCUUGAGAAAGGAGCAAAGCGCUACAAAAAAAAGAAUAAAUGUGGGAGCGGUCGCAAAAGAGGCAGGAAAGGACACCUGUUUAUAAUGGAAGAGAGUAUCAGGCUUCGGGAGGAGAUGAAUGCUACUUGUUAUAAACAAUUUGGCAACUCAUUGCCUGAUCGAGAUGUUUCCAACACUAAGUUUGAAGAACAACAGUUUGGUAGUGUGUACGAAUGUGGUCAAGAACACUGGUGCCAACUCUGUAAAGAAGUAACUUCACGUUUGUCUGACAGAGUUGACUCGCUUGCUUUGUUCGAUGGCGAUGAGAUGUUAUUUGCAUGCACGGGCAUAGUUCUGCCACGCGGGACAUCAAGACUGGGUCUAGCAAGAUUCCUGACUUCAUCGAGUUUGGUUACAGUCUUUAAUCACAAGAGAAACAAGGAUGAUAAACUUUGGGUUGCAGUGCGCCUUCUAACAAAAAAAUUAUACUUGGGAUCUUAGGACUAUAUGAUAAAUACAUCGCCAUAGUUACUUGCCCAGGCUUCCAGCUUGUCAGUCCUUUAAAUAUGUAUCAGGAGACUGAUCUGGCUGAUGAUCCGAUGAUGGUAGCUGCCAGACGUGCCUACGAAUCAUGCAGUUUGAUGGGCACGAUUGGAGGGCUGACUGAUGCUCCUAUAGGUGUUGAUUAUGAAGAUCUCUCGGCCUCAACCUGUCAGAUCACAGAGGCGGGACUUGGAGGGCCACUUGUUGAUCUUACUGGAAAGUUUGUUGGGGUGAACAUUUGUUUUGAUAGUGACACGGGAAAGCCUUUGUUUCUACCAUGGAUGUUACUUCGCCAACGCUUGGAGCAAUGUGAGAUUUCCAAUCGAAGUGAUGUGAGGAGGAAAAUCACCAGUCAGGAUGUCGCAGGGCUCGUGCUCCUCUUCAGUGAAGGUGUUGCUUACGGUGGAUGACAUUUCUACUAAUCAACUGGCUACUCUUCCGCUGAUCGGCUGUCCAGCCUGCCCAAACCCCCCGAAGGUUAGCUUGGGCGUAUCGGGGACACCGGCUAACCCGAAGGCACAUUAUGUGAUUUGUGAGAAUUAUAAUAUUGUGGACCCUGACAUGAAGAUUGACUUCCUCUAUUUUGAAUUUAUGCUUUUUAUAUUGUGAAAUAAAUGUCAAAUUAUGUGAUGUUUGUUUUACAUGUACCGUAGAAAAAGAUGUGCAAGUUCUUCAAGUGGCUGCUUACAUAUGGGGAGUUUCUGACCGAGCGUCACAUUCCUGCCCCCUUUUAUCUUCGUACAAUUGAAGAUCUUCAUAUGAAAAAAGUGGAGAGCAAUGUGAACCAACAGUAGGAGCAUCGCUUUCCUGUCCCCAAUGUGCAAAUCAGGGAUCAUAUUGAGGAAAUCAAGAGGCUCAACAAGGAUCUAGAUGAAGAGAGAUGCAAGAGGGGUAUGGAGCAACAAGUGAAUAAUGCAAGAUUUCAUAUGCUGGAGAAUGAGGUAAAAGGAAGAGGAAUGGGGUGAUUUAGCCUGUUUUUGUGGUUCCUUUCGGUUUUCCUGCUAUGUUUGUUGGUGGGGCGAUGGAAUUUGGGAAGAGCAAAUAGACUUUUAGUGUAGUAUAUUUCACCAGACUUUUAGUGUCUCCUGGAUUUAUGUAAUGAAGUGUCACCGACUGGCUAAUUUAAGUAGUACUA
Molecule: long non-coding RNA, 1866 nt
Organism: Lolium perenne
Lineage: Eukaryota; Viridiplantae; Streptophyta; Magnoliopsida; Poales; Poaceae
Source: RefSeq, a predicted model, not a curated record